CGUUUCCGUAGGGUGANCCUGCGGAAGGAUCAUU
This 34-nucleotide ribosomal RNA is filed under the name Waitea circinata. RNAcentral describes it as "partial 18S ribosomal RNA". Lineage: Eukaryota; Fungi; Basidiomycota; Agaricomycetes; Corticiales; Corticiaceae. The record is from RNAcentral.